Molecule: unclassified non-coding RNA, 420 nt
Filed under: soil metagenome
Description: partial contains 5.8S ribosomal RNA, internal transcribed spacer 2, and large subunit ribosomal RNA
Rfam family: 5.8S ribosomal RNA (bases 1-120)
Source: RNAcentral
GAUGAAGAACGUAGCGAAAUGCGAUACGUAAUGUGAAUUGCAGAAUUCAGUGAAUCAUCGAAUCUUUGAACGCAUAUUGCGCUCUUUGGUAUUCCGAAGAGCAUGCUUGUUUGAGUAUCAGUAAACACCUCAACCUCUUCUUGAUUUUUCAAAAGGAGGGUGGACUUGAGCUAUCCCAACAACCUUUACCGGUCGGCGGGCGGCUUGAAAUGCAGGUGCAGCUGGACUUUUAUCUGAGCUAAAAGCAUAUCUAUUUAGUCCUCGUCAAACAGGAUUAUUACUUUUGCUGCAGCUAACAUAAAGGAUAAUUGUCCUCUUUGCUGACUGAUGCAGGAUUUUACGACACUUUAUGUGUUGUUCAACUCGAUCUCAAAUCAAGUAAGACUACCCGCUGAACUUAAGCAUAUCAAUAGCGGAGGA